Amphimedon queenslandica is the source of this 1087-nucleotide long non-coding RNA. RefSeq lists it as uncharacterized. The transcript has 2 exons. NCBI's taxonomy places the organism in Eukaryota, Metazoa, Porifera, Demospongiae, Haplosclerida, Niphatidae. The record is from RefSeq and is a predicted model, not a curated record.
AUCUGCACUGAGACAAGACAAGGAACAACAUGAUGAAGGAGAGACUUGGAGUGUGGACUGGUACAGUGACAGUGUAUCCCUUACCUCUCCAUCUCCAGUUCAGUGUAAUGAAGUGAUUAGUAAUAUUAAUGAUGAUCAUAAGGUGGUUGAACUUGACUCCUCAUCUACUAAUAGUACAGUAUCUCUACUAUCAUCAAAUAAACUGCAUACAGUAAACCUGAGGAGUCUUGAGAUACGGGCCACUCCAUUAACUAAUGAUUGUAUCCAGUACUUGUGUAUACUACUAACUAAUAAUAAAACAAUACAAGAACUAGUCAUCAGGUACCACUCCAUUAGUGAUAGAGGAGUUACUAAUAUCUGUCAAGCACUUGAACACAACUCUACACUUACCUCAUUAGAUCUUUCUUAUAAUCCUCUCAUCACUUCUACUAGUGGAAAAGCUCUUUCUCACCUCCUCCUCAAUAACUCAUCGCUAGUUAAACUGAAUAUAACAGGUACUUCAUUGUCUACUGAGUCAAUACGAUUGAUUCUCCAGUCAUUAUCAAGCAAUAAAAAAAUAAAGAGACUCACAGUAGACAAGCAACACAAAAAGAACUAUCCCCUCAUACAAGACAGAGUAGUCUGGUGGUAACUAAUCACUCUUCGUCUGGGCAAGGUUUACUAGUUUGUUUUGUAUUUUAAUUCAAAUUUAUUAAAAUGCCAAAAUUAAUAUUUAGUGAUAAUGAUAAUACUAAAUCUCAGACUCAAGAGAGUAAAUGCUGAUACUACCUCUUUUUUAUAGUUUUAUUAUCCUAUUAGUUACUCUUCUAUUAUUAUUAUUUACAUUAACACACAUCAUCUUAUAAUUUUAUACCCACACACAUAACUUAUCUCUCUCCCUCAUUGACUGUGGAGUGUGGAGGUAUGACACUAGCUGAUAGACAGUGACUGCAGAGUAAUAGUGUUAGGAUUUGAUGUGUUAACUAAUUAAGAUUUUGUGUUAAAUUAUCAUUGUUACUAUGUUACAUUUAUGUAAUGACUUAAUUUGAUUUUUGUAUAAAUGGGGCUUGUGCUCUGUACUUUUUCUUUUGUCUGUCGUUUUGUCUGU